CCUACGGGAGGCAGCAGUGAGGAAUAUUGGUCAAUGGACGAGAGUCUGAACCAGCCAAGCCGCGUGAAGGAUGACUGCCCUAUGGGUUGUAAACUGCUUUUAUAUGGGAAUAAAACGUUCCACGUGUGGGAUUUUGUAUGUACCAUAUGAAUAAGGAUCGGCUAACUCCGUGCCAGCAGCCGCGGUAAUACGGAGGAUCCGAGCGUUAUCCGGAUUUAUUGGGUUUAAAGGGAGCGUAGGCGGAUGGUUAAGUCAGUUGUGAAAGUUUGCGGCUCAACCGCGAAAUUGCAGUUGAAACUGGCGGGCUUGAGUACAGUAGCGGUAGGCGGAAUUCAUGGUGUAGCGGUGAAAUGCUUAGAGAUCACGAAGAACACCGAUUGCGAAGGCAGCUUACUAGACUGCAACUGACACUGAGGCUCGAAAGUGUGGGUAUCAAACAGGAUUAGAUACCCUUGUAGUC
Molecule: ribosomal RNA, 460 nt
Filed under: uncultured bacterium
Lineage: Bacteria
Description: partial 16S ribosomal RNA
Rfam family: Bacterial small subunit ribosomal RNA
Source: RNAcentral